Long non-coding RNA from Osmia lignaria (orchard mason bee), 1673 nucleotides. RefSeq lists it as uncharacterized. NCBI's taxonomy places the organism in Eukaryota, Metazoa, Arthropoda, Insecta, Hymenoptera, Megachilidae. The record is from RefSeq and is a predicted model, not a curated record.
UGCAACUCAAACAGUAUAGUUAUACUGCAACUGCAUUGUCCUUUAUCUCGGCAAUUUCAACCAGUGCAGCAAAAUGUAUAUAUACAUAGUGUCGUAAACAUAUUGAAUACAAUUUCAAAAUUACAGAGUCUCAACAUUCAGAUUUUAAAACAUACAAAUCUCAAAACUCGAAUAUGAAGGUUUGAAAAUUUGAAAAUUUUUAAAACACGAAUUUACAAAUUUAAUAAUUUUUAAGCUCAAAUUUCAAAGUUUUAAAAGCUGAAUUUGGAGAUAAGAAUGGGUUUGACAAGUAUGUCAAGUUUUUGCCGUGAGGGUUGCGGUUGUUGAGAAGAAGGUGGCGGAGGUGGAAGAGGGCCAUCAGUUACCGCUGCAUCCUGUUGAGGUGAUGUUCUUGGCGGCUCUGAAACAUUGUUACUCUCGAAGAAAUUUUGAAAUAACCUCAAAGAGACCUGGAAACGUCGCACCUCGUCUGAUCUCCUGUUCUCGUCAAUGUUAAACCACGUAACCGGAAGCUGAAAACUUACCUAGCGUACGGAAGACGAUCGGUCGACUUCGAAACUUUUUGCCAGCUCUGACGGCGGUGACGACAAGUUGAUACUGUGUGUCAGCCCUAAGGCCGCUGAGUGUAACCGCUUCGCUGUUUCCUGCGACCACCGCCACCACCCUAGAUGAAAAUAGUUAACAAGAAACUGUCAAGAACUCAAUAUCUCCUGUACGUGGUACUCAAUCUCCUUUCCCGACAUUUAAUUUCCGGGAAAGAUUAUUUUCUCUGCAAAGCAACCAAGAUAAAGAGAAAAUAAGAGUACGGAGACGAUGCAUAAUGCGAUUUGAAAAUGGAAUCUCGUUAAUGGUCAAAGGUUACGAGCAAUACAAACAGUAAUGAAUGUGAUACUAAUAAACGUUUACCUAGAAAUUGCAUCUUUAAUAUCACCAGAGUGUAAUCAUGCUUUUUUGCUGAAAAAUGAAUUCAGUGCACAGAAGAGCGCCUCAAAAAAUAAGUAAUAGGAAAAGGUGCUUUUCUACAGAACGUAUGUUUACGGUGCAUAGAUUUGGAAAGCUGUGCACUGAUUUAACUUCUUCAUGGAUAUCAACACAUUCGUUCAUAGAUUUGAGUACAGUAUCGGGCAUAGUAGCCUUUCCUAGGGGAAAUGGCGUUAGAAGGAAACUAGGGAAGUCUACCAUGUUCAGUGCUGUACGUAUUUAGGUUUAUACUGAUAUAUUCAGAGCUAACUAGGUACAGUGGUUCGCACAGAUAUUUGGACACCACAGCAGAGAGAAAUGUAUUAAUGCACUAGAGUAUGCAAUUAAUAAUAGUGGUGAAGAUUAUUUUGUAGGAGAUGACGAAUGGAUAUUGAUAAUAUAAGAUAGAUCGUCAAUAAGAUUCCGAGCAAUUUGUAGACCUCUAACACAGAACCUUGAGUUUACGACCCGCUUGUUUACCAUUGCUUCGAAAGUGUGAUAAAUAAACAGAAUAGUUGACCUGGAAUAAAGUGUUUCUUUGUACUAAGGAAAUGUUGAUCGAAGAAGUGUUAAUUAAAAUCGAUAUAGGUGCAGUAGGAGAAAGCACAUAUGAAAUAUCGAAAUCCGGAAACGCACCUGGCAUCUGUUGGCUUGUACGUGACGUCGUAUUUCUCCACUUGCUCCACUUGGCUGGUGCUCCAAGAUACGCGGAC